CAGCGCCGGGGCGGCCGCGCCAUGUCCGGUGUUGCAGCGCCCCCCGGCGGCCGCGCCGCCCCCGGUGCCCGGCAUGGCGGGUCCCUCAGCCCCGGCCGUGGGGACGCGAGGGCCGAGCCCCGUCUCCGCAGUGUCCGCCCUGCUCUCCCUCCGGAUGGGCGACAGGCAUCAUCUACAGGAUCAGGGAGUGCAGUAUUAUGCCCUACAACAUGAUGAUGAGUAAUUCAGGCAAAACCACCUGCAGAUGCUCCUUCUCUCAUUCUUGCUCCCCUCCCUUGGAAAUCUGUGGCAGCAUUUGAUUCAGACAAAGAGUCCUGCAAAAAAUUGGGAAGAGCAGAUUCUUGGAUAGCAAAUGAGACAACUGCUCACCUAUUUUUUUAUGUCAUUUAAUAAAUUUUUCAGCAAAUGUUCAA
Long non-coding RNA from Pseudopipra pipra, 413 nucleotides. RefSeq lists it as uncharacterized. Lineage: Eukaryota; Metazoa; Chordata; Aves; Passeriformes; Pipridae. The record is from RefSeq and is a predicted model, not a curated record. The transcript has 3 exons.